CUUGCUACCUGACCUAGCGGCGGACGGGUGAGUAAUGCUUAGGAAUCUGCCUAUUAGUGGGGGACAACAUUCCGAAAGGAAUGCUAAUACCGCAUACGCCCUACGGGGGAAAGCAGGGGAUCUUCGGACCUUGCGCUAAUAGAUGAGCCUAAGUCAGAUUAGCUAGUUGGUGGGGUAAAGGCCUACCAAGGCGACGAUCUGUAGCGGGUCUGAGAGGAUGAUCCGCCACACUGGGACUGAGACACGGCCCAGACUCCUACGGGAGGCAGCAGUGGGGAAUAUUGGACAAUGGGCGAAAGCCUGAUCCAGCCAUGCCGCGUGUGUGAAGAAGGCCUUUUGGUUGUAAAGCACUUUAAGCGAGGAGGAGGCUACUUGGAUUAAUACUCUAGGAUAGUGGACGUUACUCGCAGAAUAAGCACCGGCUAACUCUGUGCCAGCAGCCGCGGUAAUACAGAGGGUGCGAGCGUUAAUCGGAUUUACUGGGCGUAAAGCGUGCGUAGGCGGCUUUUUAAGUCGGAUGUGAAAUCCCUGAGCUUAACUUAGGAAUUGCAUUCGAUACUGGGAAGCUAGAGUAUGGGAGAGGAUGGUAGAAUUCCAGGU
This 600-nucleotide ribosomal RNA is filed under the name Acinetobacter sp. 2(2013). Its description in RNAcentral is "bacterial SSU rRNA". It matches the Rfam family "Bacterial small subunit ribosomal RNA", at positions 79 to 674 of the family's 1533-position model. The record is from RNAcentral. Lineage: Bacteria; Pseudomonadati; Pseudomonadota; Gammaproteobacteria; Moraxellales; Moraxellaceae.